UCUUGACCUCAGAUCAGGCAAGGCUACCCGCUGAAUUUAAGCAUAUCAAUAAGCGGAGG
RNAcentral lists this ribosomal RNA (59 nucleotides) under Parazoanthus axinellae. RNAcentral's name for it is "partial 28S ribosomal RNA". It matches the Rfam family "Eukaryotic large subunit ribosomal RNA", at positions 1 to 56 of the family's 3401-position model. The record is from RNAcentral. Lineage: Eukaryota; Metazoa; Cnidaria; Anthozoa; Zoantharia; Parazoanthidae. RNAcentral also lists the same sequence under 24 other names.